Molecule: ribosomal RNA, 661 nt
Filed under: uncultured bacterium
Lineage: Bacteria
Description: bacterial SSU rRNA
Rfam family: Bacterial small subunit ribosomal RNA
Source: RNAcentral
GGGAAUAAUCACUGGAAACGGUGACUAAUACCGCAUAAUAUUCUUAGGAGGCAUCUUCUGAGAAGGAAAGGAGAAAUUCGGUAAAAGAUGGGCCCGCAUCUGAUUAGCUAGUUGGUGAGAUAACAGCCCACCAAGGCAACGAUCAGUAGCCGACCUGAGAGGGUGACCGGCCACAUUGGGACUGAGACACGGCCCAAACUCCUACGGGAGGCAGCAGUGGGGAAUAUUGCACAAUGGGGGAAACCCUGAUGCAGCAACGCCGCGUGAAGGAAGACGGUUUUCGGAUUGUAAACUUCUAUCAAUAGAGAAGAAAGAAAUGACGGUACCUAAAUAAGAAGCCCCGGCUAACUACGUGCCAGCAGCCGCGGUAAUACGUAGGGGGCAAGCGUUAUCCGGAAUUACUGGGUGUAAAGGGAGAGUAGGCGGCAAGGUAAGCGAUAUGUGAAAGCCUUAGGCUUAACCUGAGGAUUGCAUAACGAACUAUCUAGCUAGAGUACAGGAGAGGAAAGCGGAAUUCCUAGUGUAGCGGUGAAAUGCGUAGAUAUUAGGAAGAACACCAGUGGCGAAGGCGGCUUUCUGGACUGAAACUGACGCUGAGGCUCGAAAGCGUGGGGAGCGAACAGGAUUAGAUACCCUGGUAGUCCACGCUGUAAACGAUGAG